This 465-nucleotide ribosomal RNA is filed under the name Vreelandella stevensii. Its description in RNAcentral is "partial 16S ribosomal RNA". It matches the Rfam family "Bacterial small subunit ribosomal RNA", at positions 338 to 795 of the family's 1533-position model. Lineage: Bacteria; Pseudomonadati; Pseudomonadota; Gammaproteobacteria; Oceanospirillales; Halomonadaceae. The record is from RNAcentral.
CCUACGGGGGGCAGCAGUGGGGAAUAUUGGACAAUGGGAGCAACCCUGAUCCAGCCAUGCCGCGUGUGUGAAGAAGGCCCUCGGGUUGUAAAGCACUUUCAGUGAGGAAGAACGCCUGGUGGUUAAUACCCAUCAGGAAAGACAUCACUCACAGAAGAAGCACCGGCUAACUCCGUGCCAGCAGCCGCGGUAAUACGGAGGGUGCGAGCGUUAAUCGGAAUUACUGGGCGUAAAGCGCGCGUAGGUGGCUUGAUAAGCCGGUUGUGAAAGCCCCGGGCUCAACCUGGGAACGGCAUCCGGAACUGUCAAGCUAGAGUGCAGGAGAGGAAGGUAGAAUUCCCGGUGUAGCGGUGAAAUGCGUAGAGAUCGGGAGGAAUACCAGUGGCGAAGGCGGCCUUCUGGACUGACACUGACACUGAGGUGCGAAAGCGUGGGUAGCAAACAGGAUUAGAUACCCUUGUAGUC